UGGACCAAACGCUUCCCAGCCUAAGCA
Molecule: non-coding RNA, 27 nt
Filed under: Homo sapiens (human)
Lineage: Eukaryota; Metazoa; Chordata; Mammalia; Primates; Hominidae
Source: RNAcentral